RNAcentral lists this ribosomal RNA (301 nucleotides) under uncultured bacterium. RNAcentral's name for it is "partial 16S ribosomal RNA". It matches the Rfam family "Bacterial small subunit ribosomal RNA", at positions 509 to 807 of the family's 1533-position model. The record is from RNAcentral.
CAGUAGCCGCGGUAAUACGUAGGGUGCAAGCGUUAAUCGGAAUUACUGGGCGUAAAGCGUGCGCAGGUGGUUAUAUAAGACAGAUGUGAAAUCCCCGGGCUCAACCUGGGAACUGCAUUUGUGACUGUAUAGCUAGAGUACGGCAGAGGGGGAUGGAAUUCCGCGUGUAGCAGUGAAAUGCGUAGAUAUGCGGAGGAACACCGAUGGCGAAGGCAAUCCCCUGGGCCUGUACUGACGCUCAUGCACGAAAGCGUGGGGAGCAAACAGGAUUAGAUACCCCAGUAGUCCCUGUCUCUUAUAC